RNAcentral lists this ribosomal RNA (253 nucleotides) under uncultured bacterium. RNAcentral describes it as "partial 16S ribosomal RNA". It matches the Rfam family "Bacterial small subunit ribosomal RNA", at positions 524 to 776 of the family's 1533-position model. The record is from RNAcentral.
UACGAAGGGGGCUAGCGUUGCUCGGAAUUACUGGGCGUAAAGCGUGCGCAGGCGGCUUUGCAAGACAGAUGUGAAAUCCCCGGGCUUAACCUGGGAACUGCAUUUGUGACUGCAUGGCUGGAGUGCGGCAGAGGGGGAUGGAAUUCCGCGUGUAGCAGUGAAAUGCGUAGAUAUGCGGAGGAACACCGAUGGCGAAGGCAAUCCCCUGGGCCUGCACUGACGCUCAUGCACGAAAGCGUGGGGAGCAAACAGG